CCUACGGGUGGCAGCAGUGGGGGAUAUUGCACAAUGGGGGGAACCCUGAUGCAGCGACGCCGCGUGGGUGAAGGAGCGUUUCGGCGCGUAAAGCUCUAUCGGCAGGGAAGAAGAUGACGGUACCUGACCAAGAAGCGCCGGCUAACUACGUGCCAGCCGCCGAGGUACUACGUAGGGGGCGCGCGUGAUCCGGUAUUACUGGGUGUAAAGGGGGCGCAGACGGUAGUGCAAGCCGGGAGUGAAAGCCUGGGGCCCAACCCCGGGAGCGCCCUUGGAACUGCAUGGCUGGAGUGCGGGUGGGGCAGGCGGAAUGCCUAGUGUAGCGGUGAAAUGCGUAGAUAGUAGGAAGAACACCGGUGGCGAAGGCGGCCGGCUGGACUGUGACUGACGUUGAGGCCCGAAGGCGUGGGGAGCAAACAGGAUUAGAUACCCCUGUAGUC
Molecule: ribosomal RNA, 440 nt
Filed under: uncultured bacterium
Lineage: Bacteria
Description: partial 16S ribosomal RNA
Rfam family: Bacterial small subunit ribosomal RNA
Source: RNAcentral